Molecule: ribosomal RNA, 492 nt
Filed under: uncultured bacterium
Lineage: Bacteria
Description: partial 16S ribosomal RNA
Rfam family: Bacterial small subunit ribosomal RNA
Source: RNAcentral
AGUGAACGCUGGCGGUAGGCCUAACACAUGCAAGUCGAACGGCAGCACAGUAAGAGCUUGCUCUUACGGGUGGCGAGUGGCGGACGGGUGAGGAAUACAUCGGAAUCUACUUUUUCGUGGGGGAUAACGUAGGGAAACUUACGCUAAUACCGCAUACGACCUACGGGUGAAAGCAGGGGAUCUUCGGACCUUGCGCGAUUGAAUGAGCCGAUGUCGGAUUAGCUAGUUGGCGGGGUAACGGCCCACCAAGGCGACGAUCCGUAGCUGGUCUGAGAGGAGGAUCAGCCACACUGGAACUGAGACACGGUCCAGACUCCUACGGGAGGCAGCAGUGGGGAAUAUUGGACAAUGGGCGCAAGCCUGAUCCAGCCAUACCGCGUGGGUGAAGAAGGCCUUCGGGUUGUAAAGCCCUUUUGUUGGGAGAGAAAAGCAGCAGGUUAAUACCCCGCUGUUCUGACGGUACCCAAAGAAUAAGCACCGGCUAACUUCGUG